This 404-nucleotide ribosomal RNA is filed under the name Actinomycetes bacterium. Its description in RNAcentral is "Actinobacteria bacterium partial 16S ribosomal RNA". It matches the Rfam family "Bacterial small subunit ribosomal RNA", at positions 355 to 776 of the family's 1533-position model. The record is from RNAcentral. Lineage: Bacteria; Bacillati; Actinomycetota; Actinomycetes.
UGGGGAAUUUUGGACAAUGGGCGCAAGCCUGAUCCAGCCAUGCCGCGUGAGAGAUGAAGGCCCUAGGGUUGUAAAGCUCUUUCACCGGGGAAGAUAAUGACGGUAACCGGAGAAGAAGCCCCGGCUAACUUCGUGCCAGCAGCCGCGGUAAUACGAAGGGGGCUAGCGUUGUUCGGAUUUACUGGGCGUAAAGCGCACGUAGGCGGACUAUUAAGUCAGGGGUGAAAUCCCGGGGCUCAACCCCGGAACUGCCUUUGAUACUGGUAGUCUUGAGUUCGAGAGAGGUGAGUGGAAUUCCGCGUGUAGAAGUGAAAUUCGUAGAUAUUCGGAGGAACACCAGUGGCGAAGGCGGCUCACUGGCUCGAUACUGACGCUGAGGUGCGAAAGCGUGGGGAGCAAACAGG